Molecule: ribosomal RNA, 1233 nt
Filed under: Triticum aestivum (bread wheat)
Lineage: Eukaryota; Viridiplantae; Streptophyta; Magnoliopsida; Poales; Poaceae
Description: partial small subunit ribosomal RNA
Source: RNAcentral
AUGCCGCCGCCGCCGCCGCCGCCGACGCGGCCUGCACCGGCGCUGCCGGACGAGCUUCUAGAGGAGAUCUUCCUCCGCCUCCCUCCGGACGAGCCGGAGCACCUCGUGCGCACCUCCCUCGCCUGCAAGCUCUGGCUCGGCCUCCUCUCCGGCGCUCGCUUCCGCGGCCUCUACGGCGAGUUCCAUGGAGCUCCCCCCAUGCUGGGAUUCCUCUACAACUGGUUCUUUUGCAGCGGCCCCAAGGAGGAUGACCCCGUGGCAAACUUCGUCUCCACCACGAAAUUCGGUGCGCUCGUUCCCGACGGCGAUGGCUGGGACCGUCAGUACACUCCCUGGGACUGCCGCCACGGCCGAGUCCUCCUCGGGGACUACACUGGGCUCAUCGUUUGGGACCCCAUGACAGGCCGCCGGAUGAAGCUGGAACCGCCCGUCGGGUAUGUUGGCGCUGCCGUGCUCUGCGCUGCGAGGGGCUGUGACCACCGUGCCUGUCAUGAGGGCCCCUUCCGAGUUGUCGUCAUCGGCCUGGACAUGAAUGAGGAUGAUGGCGAUUGUGUUGCGCACGCCUGCGCGUCCUCGCCGGUGACGCCCGAGUGGAGCAGGCUAUGCUCGGAUUCUCAUUUUGAUGGGUGGAGCAGGGCGUGCUCUGAUUCUCGUUUUGAUGGGUGGAGCAAGCAGUGCUCUGGUCUUUAUCUUCUUGCAGGCGAUCCAAAAAUCGAUGCACUGCCUCCUGUCCUCGUUGAUGACGCACUUCACUUCAGGCUUACAGAUGACGAUGAGCGUGUAGGAAUUCUCAAGUACGACUUGAGCUCUAAUUGCUUAUCAAUGAUUGAUGUGCCGCUUACGAGGUUGGCCAUUGUCUGGCCCGCUAUCCUCAUGGCAUUGGAGGAUGGCAGCUUGGGGUUAGCACACUUGGACGGGUUAACCCUCUAUCUAUGGUCAAGACAGAUAGAUUCCAACGGAGUUGCGUCAUGGACUCAGCAUAAAGUCAUCGAUCUAAAGGAACCUCUCCCCAUUCAAAAUCCCAAGAAAAGAAUUAGUGUUAUUGGAUCUGUCGAGGGCCAUGAUAUCAUUUUCGUGAACAUAGAUCUUGGCAUCUACGAGAUUGAUUUGAAGACACUACGGUGGAAGAAGCUAUGGAAGAGAGAAAAAUUCCGUUCUUUGAUUCCAUACAUGAGCUUCUACAAUCGACAAGAAAGGGUGAGGCCCUGCAAGGCAUUGACAACAGAUGAUUGA